CCUACGGGAGGCAGCAGUGAGGAAUAUUGGUCAAUGGGCGUGAGCCUGAACCAGCCAAGUAGCGUGAAGGAUGACUGCCCUACGGGUUGUAAACUUCUUUUAUGAAGGAAUAAAGUGAGGCACGUGUGCCGUUUUGUAUGUACCUCAUGAAUAAGGAUCGGCUAAUUCCGUGCCAGCAGCCGCGGUAAUACGGAGGGUCCGAGCGUUAUCCGGAUUUAUUGGGUUUAAAGGGAGCGUAGAUGGGUUGUUAAGUCAGUUGUGAAAGUUUGCGGCUCAACCGUAAAAUUGCAAUUGGUACUGGCAGUCUUGAGUACAGUUGAGGUAGGCGGAAUUCGUGGUGUAGCGGUGAAAUGCUUAGAUAUCACGAAGAAAUCCGAUUGCGAAGGCAGCUUACUAAACUGCCACUGACAUUGAUGCUCGAAGGUGUGGGUAUCGAACAGGAUUAGAUACCCGGGUAGUC
Molecule: ribosomal RNA, 460 nt
Filed under: uncultured bacterium
Lineage: Bacteria
Description: partial 16S ribosomal RNA
Rfam family: Bacterial small subunit ribosomal RNA
Source: RNAcentral